GGUUGACCUCGGAUCAGGUAGGGAUACCCGCUGAACUUAAGCAUAUCAAUAAGCGGAGGAAAAGAAACCAACCGGGAUUGCCUCAGUAACGGCGAGUGAAGCGGCAAGAGCUCAAAUUUGAAAUCUGGCCCCUCCGGGGUCCGAGUUGUAAUUUGCAGAGGAUGCUUCGGAUGCGGCCCCCGUCUAAGUCCCCUGGAACGGGGCGUCGGAGAGGGUGAGAAUCCCGUCUGGGACGGGGUGUCCGCGUCCGUGUGAAGCUCCUUCGACGAGUCGAGUUGUUUGGGAAUGCAGCUCUAAAUGGGUGGUAAAUUUCAUCUAAAGCUAAAUACUGGCCGGAGACCGAUAGCGCACAAGUAGAGUGAUCGAAAGAUGAAAAGCACUUUGAAAAGAGAGUUAAAAAGCACGUGAAAUUGUUGAAAGGGAAGCGUAUGCGACCAGACUCGCCGGCGGGGUUCAACCGGGAUUCGUCCCGGUGUACUUCCCCGCCGGCGGGCCAGCGUCGGUUUGGGCGGCCGGUCAAAGGCCUCCGGAAUGUAUCGCCCCCCGGGGCGUCUUAUAGCCGGAGGUGCAAUGCGGCCUGCCCGGACCGAGGAACGCGCUUCGGCACGGACGCUGGCAUAAUGGUCGUAUAUGACC
This 636-nucleotide ribosomal RNA is filed under the name Aspergillus spinulosus. RNAcentral describes it as "partial 28S ribosomal RNA". It matches the Rfam family "Eukaryotic large subunit ribosomal RNA", at positions 1 to 649 of the family's 3401-position model. Lineage: Eukaryota; Fungi; Ascomycota; Eurotiomycetes; Eurotiales; Aspergillaceae. The record is from RNAcentral.